This 604-nucleotide ribosomal RNA is filed under the name Protium decandrum. RNAcentral describes it as "eukaryotic LSU rRNA". The stretch from base 276 to 431 matches the Rfam family "5.8S ribosomal RNA". The record is from RNAcentral. Lineage: Eukaryota; Viridiplantae; Streptophyta; Magnoliopsida; Sapindales; Burseraceae.
GCGGAAGGAUCAUUGUCAGAAACCUGCCCAGCAGAACGACCCUCGAACGAGUGAAAAAAACACCGGCGGUGCGGGGGUGCGUCAGCUCCCCGCUCGCCACGUCGCGGGCGGUGCGGUCGGCUUCUCGUCCGCGAGCGUCGUUCCGUUCCCCCCGCGGCACAACAACGAACCCCGGCGCGGACCGCGCCAAGGAAAUUCUAACGAGAGAGCUCGCUCCCGUCGCCCCGGAGACGGUGCGCGUGCGGGCAGCGGCGCCUUCUUUCACGAUCCAAAACGACUCUCGGCAACGGAUAUCUAGGCUCUCGCAUCGAUGAAGAACGUAGCGAAAUGCGAUACUUGGUGUGAAUUGCAGAAUCCCGUGAACCAUCGAGUCUUUGAACGCAAGUUGCGCCCCAAGCCUUUAGGCCGAGGGCACGUCUGCCUGGGUGUCACGCAUCGUCGCCCCCCCAACCCCCCGCACCCCGGGGAGGAACGUGGGCGGGGCGGAGAAUGGCCUCCCGUGCGCCUCUCGGCUCGCGGUUAGCCCAAAUCCGAGUCCCCGGCUUCGCGUGCCGCGACUUUCGGUGGUCGAAACGAACCUCUAUGUCCCGUCGCGCCCGCGUCG